GACGAACGCUGGCGGCGUGCUUAACACAUGCAAGUCGAACGGAAACGCCCUGCUUAGGUGCGCUGCUCGAGUGGCGAACGGGUGAGUAACCCGUGGGUACCCUACCCUUGACUUUGGGAUAACUUCAGGAAGCUUAGGAUAAUACCAGAUAGGAUCUCCUGCUGCAUGGUGGGGCUGGGAAAGUUUAGGUGGUUGGGAAUGGAAUCGCGGCGUAUCAGAUUGUUGGUGGGGUAGUGGCUUACCAAGGCUUUGACGGGUAGCCCGGCUGAGAGGGUGACCGGCUACAUUACGACGGAGCUACGACACAGACUACAACGCUAGGCAAGGGAGGGGAGGAGGAUAUUAUGGACUGGGGGAAGACGUAGCAACGCCGCGUGGGGUAAGUGGGGCAUCGGGUUGGAAUGCGAAGUUGCCUGUGACGAGGCGAUAGUGACGGUAAUGGGUGAAGAAGCACCGGCUAACUACGUG
RNAcentral lists this ribosomal RNA (468 nucleotides) under uncultured bacterium. RNAcentral's name for it is "partial 16S ribosomal RNA". It matches the Rfam family "Bacterial small subunit ribosomal RNA", at positions 28 to 507 of the family's 1533-position model. The record is from RNAcentral.